UGCAAGUCGCACGAGAACGCUUCAGCUUGCUGAAGCAAGUAAAGUGGCGCACGGGUGAGUAACGCGUGGGUAACCUACCUCCGAAUUGGGGAUAACAUUGCGAAAGCGAUGCUAAUACCGAAUAACAUCCUUAGCACUUCGGUUCUUUGGAUCAAAGGUGGCCUCUCCUUGGAAGCUAUCGUUUGGGGAUGGGCCCGCGUACCAUUAGCUUGUUGGUAGGGUAACGGCCUACCAAGGCUACGAUGGUUAGCUGGUCUGAGAGGAUGAUCAGCCACACUGGAACUGACACACGGUCCAGACUCCUACGGGAGGCAGCAGUGAGGAAUUUUGCGCAAUGGGGGAAACCCUGACGCAGCAAUGCCGCGUGAGUGAUGAAGGCUUUCGGGUCGUAAAGCUCUGUCAAGUGGGAAGAACCUACAUGUUGAUAACACCAUCAUGUACUGACGGUACCACUGAAGGAAGCACCGGCUAACUCCGUGCCAGCAGCCGCGGUAAUACGGGGGGUGCUAGCGUUACUCGGAAUUACUGGGCGUAAAGCGCGCGUAGGCGGUCCUUUAAGUCAGAUGUGAAAGCCCGGGGCUCAACCCCGGAAGUGCAUUUGAAACUAAGGGACUUGAGUAUGGGAGAGGGAAGUGGAAUUCCUGGUGUAGCGGCGAAAUGCGUAGAUAUCAGGAGGAACACCGGUGGCGAAGGCGACUUCCUGGACCAAUACUGACGCUCAGGCGCGAAGGCGUGGGGAGCAAACAGGAUUAGAUACCCUGGUAGUCCACGCAGUAAACGGUGAACACUANGUGUAGCGGGUAUUGACCCCUGCUGUGCCGCAGCUAACGUAUUAAGUGUUCCGCCUGG
Molecule: ribosomal RNA, 849 nt
Filed under: uncultured Desulfobacterales bacterium
Lineage: Bacteria; Pseudomonadati; Thermodesulfobacteriota; Desulfobacteria; Desulfobacterales
Description: bacterial SSU rRNA
Rfam family: Bacterial small subunit ribosomal RNA
Source: RNAcentral